This 253-nucleotide ribosomal RNA is filed under the name uncultured bacterium. RNAcentral's name for it is "partial 16S ribosomal RNA". It matches the Rfam family "Bacterial small subunit ribosomal RNA", at positions 524 to 776 of the family's 1533-position model. The record is from RNAcentral.
UACGGAGGGCGCAAGCGUUGUUCGGAAUUACUGGGCGUAAAGCGCGUGUAGGCGGCCAGGUAAGUCGGGUGUGAAAUCCCGGGGCCCAACCCCGGAACUGCACCCGAUACUGCCCGGCUGGAGUCCCGGAGAGGAUGGCGGAAUUUCCGGUGUAGAGGUGAAAUUCGUAGAUAUCGGAAGGAACACCAGUGGCGAAGGCGGCCAUCUGGACGGUGACUGACGCUGAGACGCGAAAGCGUGGGGAGCAAACAGG